Molecule: transfer RNA, 74 nt
Filed under: Chloroflexota bacterium
Lineage: Bacteria; Bacillati; Chloroflexota
Also listed under: 1 other name
Description: Chloroflexi bacterium tRNA-Pro
Rfam family: tRNA
About the family: Transfer RNA (tRNA) molecules are approximately 80 nucleotides in length. Their secondary structure includes four short double-helical elements and three loops (D, anti-codon, and T loops).
Source: RNAcentral
CGGGGUGUAGCGCAGCCUGGUAGCGCACCAGUUCGGGGUACUGGUAGUCGGCGGUUCAAAUCCGCCCACCCCGA